CAAAAAACAUUGAAAUUUAGGACUAACAUUGUGUAAUUUAUUUCUUUUCAGGUACCCCCGCCAGAAGGACGGAAGCAUCGAGUCGCUGAGGAGCCUAAGGAGUCAUCACAGAUGCAAAUUGCCGGUCGUCAGCUGUCAUUGCAUUUUUAUUGAGCUGCUGGCAUUAUGGUGGUGGCGUUCGUCUCGUGGCAGAGAAGUCGUCAGUGAGGAUUGUAGCUCGGUCUAUCACCGAGGAAAGCCAGGUGCGCCGCGUCUUGUGGCCAUAGCGUCAGGAUUGGCAGCUUGGGGCCGCCGGUUCGAGAUUUGUUGCAGAGGGCCGCCGCAACGUGAUAGGCAUGGAAAUGAAUGUAAGAAUUGUAUUUGGUACAUUGAGUGGAAUUUAAUUUAAGGUACGUUUUGUGAGGGCUAACUUGGAGGCCCUUUUUAUUGUGUUAUUGCAGCUGGAAUGCCGCGAUUUUGGAGUCAUCAAGUUGGCAAUUAGAUAAGUAUUAUAUUAUAAAUAUAUAUUUCCCAGUAAUAGCUUGUGUUCC
Long non-coding RNA from Drosophila mauritiana, 530 nucleotides. RefSeq lists it as uncharacterized. NCBI's taxonomy places the organism in Eukaryota, Metazoa, Arthropoda, Insecta, Diptera, Drosophilidae. The transcript is spliced from 4 exons. The record is from RefSeq and is a predicted model, not a curated record.